GCAGAUUCACGUCUGCUCCUCUUAAAUGCAUUAGCUGGAUCUCAGUGAACUCGGUUCCACUCGGCGUGAUAAGUAUCACUCGCUGAGGACACUGUAAAAGGUGGCCGGGAUUGCAGAUGAACCGCUUCCAAUCGUCCAUUUGCUUGGACAAUUAUUUAUGAUCUGAUCUCAAAUCAGGUAGGACUACCCGCUGAACUUAA
Molecule: unclassified non-coding RNA, 200 nt
Filed under: soil metagenome
Description: partial contains internal transcribed spacer 2 and large subunit ribosomal RNA
Source: RNAcentral